RNAcentral lists this transfer RNA (66 nucleotides) under Lepidurus apus lubbocki. RNAcentral describes it as "tRNA-Met". Lineage: Eukaryota; Metazoa; Arthropoda; Branchiopoda; Notostraca; Triopsidae. The record is from RNAcentral.
AAUAAAGUAAGCUAAUAUUAAAGCUAAUGGGCUCAUACCCCACUGAUAGAGGUACUCUCUUUAUUA